RNAcentral lists this ribosomal RNA (1782 nucleotides) under 'Solanum tuberosum' phytoplasma. RNAcentral's name for it is "bacterial SSU rRNA". The stretch from base 1 to 1524 matches the Rfam family "Bacterial small subunit ribosomal RNA". Lineage: Bacteria; Bacillati; Mycoplasmatota; Mollicutes; Acholeplasmatales; Acholeplasmataceae. The record is from RNAcentral.
GUUUGAUCCUGGCUCAGGAUUAACGCUGGCGGCGUGCCUAAUACAUGCAAGUCGAACGGAAGUUUAAGCAAUUAAACUUUAGUGGCGAACGGGUGAGUAACGCGUAAGCAAUCUGCCCCUAAGACGAGGAUAACAGUUGGAAACGACUGCUAAGACUGGAUAGGAGACAAGAGGGCAUCUUCUUGUUUUUAAAAGACCUAGCAAUAGGUAUGCUUAGGGAGGAGCUUGCGUCACAUUAGUUAGUUGGUGGGGUAAAGGCCUACCAAGACUAUGAUGUGUAGCCGGGCUGAGAGGUUGAACGGCCACAUUGGGACUGAGACACGGCCCAAACUCCUACGGGAGGCAGCAGUAGGGAAUUUUCGGCAAUGGAGGAAACUCUGACCGAGCAACGCCGCGUGAACGAUGAAGUAUUUCGGUACGUAAAGUUCUUUUAUUAGGGAAGAAUAAAUGAUGGAAAAAUCAUUCUGACGGUACCUAAUGAAUAAGCCCCGGCUAACUAUGUGCCAGCAGCCGCGGUAAUACAUAGGGGGCAAGCGUUAUCCGGAAUUAUUGGGCGUAAAGGGUGCGUAGGCGGUUAAAUAAGUUUAUGGUCUAAGUGCAAUGCUCAACAUUGUGAUGCUAUAAAAACUGUUUAGCUAGAGUAAGAUAGAGGCAAGUGGAAUUCCAUGUGUAGUGGUAAAAUGCGUAAAUAUAUGGAGGAACACCAGUAGCGAAGGCGGCUUGCUGGGUCUUUACUGACGCUGAGGCACGAAAGCGUGGGGAGCAAACAGGAUUAGAUACCCUGGUAGUCCACGCCGUAAACGAUGAGUACUAAACGUUGGGUAAAACCAGUGUUGAAGUUAACACAUUAAGUACUCCGCCUGAGUAGUACGUACGCAAGUAUGAAACUUAAAGGAAUUGACGGGACUCCGCACAAGCGGUGGAUCAUGUUGUUUAAUUCGAAGGUACCCGAAAAACCUCACCAGGUCUUGACAUGCUUCUGCAAAGCUGUAGAAACACAGUGGAGGUUAUCAGUUGCACAGGUGGUGCAUGGUUGUCGUCAGCUCGUGUCGUGAGAUGUUGGGUUAAGUCCCGCAACGAGCGCAACCCUUAUUGUUAGUUACCAGCACGUAAUGGUGGGGACUUUAGCAAGACUGCCAGUGAUAAAUUGGAGGAAGGUGGGGACGACGUCAAAUCAUCAUGCCCCUUAUGACCUGGGCUACAAACGUGAUACAAUGGCUGUUACAAAGGGUAGCUGAAGCGCAAGUUUUUGGCGAAUCUCAAAAAAACAGUCUCAGUUCGGAUUGAAGUCUGCAACUCGACUUCAUGAAGUUGGAAUCGCUAGUAAUCGCGAAUCAGCAUGUCGCGGUGAAUACGUUCUCGGGGUUUGUACACACCGCCCGUCAAACCAGGAAAGGGGGGAGUACCCAAAUUUUUUGGGGGGGGCGCGCCCCCACGCGCGAACCGUAUAAGGUAGGGUCGAUGAUUGGGGUUAAAUAAUAACAAGGUAUCCCUACCGGAAGGUGGGGAUGGAUCACCUCCUUUCUAAGGAAACAAUUAUCAUCUUCAGUUUUGAGAGACUUAAGAAAGUUUUUCAUUGUAACUUGCUUGCAAAUUGUAUUUGCAACAUUUUAAUCUUUUUAAGAUUAAGGGCCUAUACCUCAGUUGGUUAGAGCACACGCCUGAUAAGCGUGAGGUCGGUGGUUAAAGUCCAUUUAGGCCCACCAUAACCACAAAUAGCCAAAAUCUUAAGGGAGCUCUGACAACACCUAAACGAAGGUUGGGGAGUCGAUCGGACCGAGU